This 63-nucleotide transfer RNA is filed under the name Phlugiolopsis tribranchis. RNAcentral describes it as "tRNA-Arg". Lineage: Eukaryota; Metazoa; Arthropoda; Insecta; Orthoptera; Tettigoniidae. The record is from RNAcentral.
AAGUAAGAAGCGAUUUAUCGCAAUCAAUUUCGACUUGGUCUUAGAUGUAUUCAUCCUUACUUG